CUGGGAUCCCCCACUGUAUAUUGUUGAGUGGGAUCCUUAGUUUUCUUCAGUCUGGGGACAGUUUCUGAAUCUUUCUUUGCCUUUCAUGAUUUUGACACUUGGGAAAAGUAUUGGUCACUUGGUAGGUGGACUUUUGGAUUUUCCUGGUUUUUCCUCAAGAUUAAAUUUAGCUUAUGCAAGAAUAUUACAGAAUCCAUGUUGCCUUCUUCUCAGUUCAGGAUAUCAGGGAGUACUUGGUGACAAUAUGUUUCAUUGCUGCUGAGAUGUAUCUUGAUCUUUGGCUACAGUUGGGUCUGCCAGGAUUCUCUCUUGUAAAGUUACUAUUUUUCCUUUGAAAUUAAAAAAUAUCUUGUGAAAAGAUACUUUGGCAGCCUGCAGAGGUCCUGCUUCUUACACUCCUUUUUAACCCUCUAAUUUUUAGCAUUUCUGAACGAUGCCUUCUGGAACACUUAUUACUGUGGGAUAUGCAUGUGGUGUUUUUCUGUUUCCUUUGUUCUUCUGCGUUUAUUAACUGGAACUUGGAUAAGGAGGAGCUAUACCUUCUCCUCCUUUGAUUUGUUAAUAAUUCAUGGCUAUUCAUUCUCUUCUAUGGAUUAGAAUUCACUACAGUCUGUAUUUUUGGUUGUUGUGAUUGUCCCAGAUUUGGUCAUUGGGAGAUCCUUUUACCAGGCUCCUGUGUCCUUCUGACACACCCUCAUCACUUUUUGAGCACUUCCUUAAUUUUUGGCACUACAUAGUAUUCCUAGAACAUUUUAUAUGUUCAUUGCCUCAGUCCCAGAAUAAACUGUCUCUCUCCAGGAAACCCCGGUUCCUUUUAUUGGAGAAUGAAGUUAGAAACCAAGAUAUGGGUGCUGGGUGAAAUUCCCUGCUACUGGGGUGUUAUUGCUUCUUAGCUCUCUGAAAGAACAGUGCUGUUUCCUAGAACAUAAACGACUCGCAUACAUGUACAUAUACACUCAUCUAUAUCAGUAUCUGUUUAUGUACUAAAGACAUGAGUUUAUUCUGACAUAUCAAGGUCAAGUUCACUACCACAGUGUGGAUGGAUUCUCACCGUUUCCUUGUAACUCCUCUCUCCCAGCAAUGGAAGGCCCGCCUCUCGUUAUCCAGAGUAUAUUUAUGAAUUUAUUCAAUCCUAGUAUGUGUGUGCAUGUAUGUAUGUAUAUUUAUGUAUACAUAUUCAAAAUUACUACCAUACUUCUUGAAUAGUAGAAAAUAUUCUAAGUAGAAUGCAGUAUAUGGAUACCUUUGUUUUUGUCUUUAAAGCCUUAUAUAUAGCUUAAAAUGCUGUUUUCCAGAGUUACUCAGUUCUUUUUUUUUUUUUUCCAGUUCCAUUUUGGGUCCCUGUCCCCUCACUCCCACUGGCCUUGAUUUUAGUUAUUUAUUAAUUUUUUUGAGAAAAUGAAAUAUUAGCCUUGUUCUAAAAGUCAGAACCAUACAAAAAGAUAUCCACAUAGAGGUGUCACUCCCCCCAUACCUUCUACCCCAUUGCCAUGCACGGGUCUUUCCUCGGUGCCCACCCAUCCCCUGUAGGGAGUUUCCGAUUUGUCUCAGCUGUGUGUCUUCAAUGCCAGAGAACAAAUGCAUCCACGGCCUCCCACAUCCCCUCCUUCCGUACGUGAUGGAUGAUGUCCUCUAAGUAUUAUUUGCCCUUUGCUAUUUUUGCUGCAUGGUUCAUCCUGGAAAUAUCAGUUCAUGGGGAUCAUCUCCAUUCCGUAGUCUUUAUUUUUCCAGUUCAGGUGUAACUUACCUACAGUAAAGUGCAGAGAUCCUAAGUGUACGGGCUGAUGGGUGUUCCAUGUGUUUACGCUUGCGUAAACAUUCCUCAGAUGACACUAUGGAAAAUUUCCAGCACCCUGGAGCUUCCCCUCCUGCCCUUUCUCAAUCGUCUCCUUGAAACCUUUGAGACCGGGGUGAUGAUUGUUCUCAUUCCUAUCCGCAUUGCUUAGUGUUGCCUGUACUUGGAGCCAAAAAACAGCAUCAUUUCCUUCUGGUUUUGCUUGUUCAACAGUAUGUUUACUCCACAUUCCUAUGAACUGAUAGAGGCCCAGCAAAGUAAGCCUGGGAUCUGAAUGCUUCAUCUUCUGUUAUCCUGCAGCAGGCUGAUGGAGGAGCACGGCUUGCAGGUGUUAGAGCAUCCUGCUCCCGGGUUUGCAGGAGAUUACGCCUU
This 2167-nucleotide long non-coding RNA is filed under the name Sus scrofa (pig). Its description in RNAcentral is "lncRNA (ENSSSCG00040056783.1)". Lineage: Eukaryota; Metazoa; Chordata; Mammalia; Artiodactyla; Suidae. The record is from RNAcentral.